RNAcentral lists this ribosomal RNA (468 nucleotides) under uncultured bacterium. RNAcentral's name for it is "partial 16S ribosomal RNA". It matches the Rfam family "Bacterial small subunit ribosomal RNA", at positions 28 to 507 of the family's 1533-position model. The record is from RNAcentral.
GACGAACGCUGGCGGCGUGCUUAACACAUGCAAGUCGAACGGAAAGGCCAGGCUUUUGCGGGGCGCUCGAGUGGCGCAGGGGUGAGUAACACGUGAGUAACCCGCACUUGAAUUUGGGAUAACUUCAGGGAACUGGGGCUCAUACCGGGUAGGAGCUCCUGCAGCAUGGGGGGGGUUGGAAAGAUUCGGCGGUUGGGGCUGGACUCGAGGGUUAUCCGCUUGUUGGGGGAGUAGUGGCUUACCAAGGCUUUGACGGGUAGCCGGCCUGGGAGGGUGACCGGCCUCAUUGGGACUGAGAGACGGCCCAGACGCCAACGGUAGGCAGCAGGGGGGAAUAUUGCAGAAUGGGCGGAAGCCUGAUGCAGCAGCCCCGCGUUCGGGAAACCGGCUUUCGGGUGGAAAACCGCUUUCUCCUGAGACAAAGCCUGCUUGACGGUAACUAGUAAAAAAGCACCGGCUAACUACGUG